GUAAACACAAAAUAUUACUUUGUAAAGGUGAAUAAACUAGAAAAACACUCUAACAUAAAUCCUCAAUAGAUCAAAUCCAUGGAUUACGGAGUAGUAUUAUCAUUUUAUCAAGACAUAUCCACACCUGUAACAUUCAUAUGAUAAAGAUAAUAUAAAACAUGUCAUUCAAAACAUACCUAAGCAGAGCCUCUCAACAUUCCUGCAUAAGCUGUUUUCAAGAGAGGCCUUUCCAUGAAAAGGGUGUUACAACGAAACAGUAAGGGUUCUCUGACUGGACAAAGUGGGUCAUUUUAUUGUAAAGGGUAUGGCCAGGGGCAAUUGGUGGUUUUCUUCAUCUAAGAGUAGCUACUUAUGAAUUAAUUCAAACACUUUUCCGACAGAGAGGUAUAUGCUUUCAAGUCUACCAGGGUCCUGGAUUCCAUGAUCACUCAGACUCACCUAUGCCAUCAGUGUCAUUAUUUAUUCUUAUGCUGAACGGUGCAUUUUAUUUUCUCCAGCACUUGCGUCAUUCAGGGCACUCUUUGGCACACAGCGUGGACAUGUUAUUGAUGCACACAGACAUUCUUGAGACACCCCCAUUUGGCUUUCC
Pelobates cultripes (western spadefoot toad) is the source of this 589-nucleotide non-coding RNA. NCBI's taxonomy places the organism in Eukaryota, Metazoa, Chordata, Amphibia, Anura, Pelobatidae. The record is from the annotation of a GenBank genome assembly.